Drosophila busckii is the source of this 77-nucleotide non-coding RNA. NCBI's taxonomy places the organism in Eukaryota, Metazoa, Arthropoda, Insecta, Diptera, Drosophilidae. The record is from the annotation of a RefSeq genome assembly.
GGCUCAAUGGUCUAGGGGUAUGAUUCUCUUCUCGCUUUGGGUGCGAGAGGUCCCGGGUUCAAAUCCCGGUUGAGCCC